GAUGAACGCUAGCGACAGGCCUAACACAUGCAAGUCGAGGGGCAACGGGGCGUAGCAAUACGCUGCCGGCGACCGGCGGAUGGGUGAGUAACGCGUAUGCAACCUGCCUUCAGCAGGGGGAUAGCCCGUUGAAAGACGGAUUAAUACCCCAUAACACAGGGGCUCCGCAUGGAGAUUAUUGUUAAAGGGAUGCUUCCUUCGGGGGUAUUCCGGCUGAAGAUGGGCAUGCGUUCCAUUAGGUAGUUGGUUGAGGUAACGGCUCACCAAGCCUGCGAUGGAUAGGGGAACUGAGAGGUUGGUCCCCCACACUGGUACUGAGACACGGACCAGACUCCUACGGGAGGCAGCAGUGAGGAAUCUUGGUCAAUGGACGGAAGUCUGAACCAGCCAUGUCGCGUGAAGGAGGACGGCCCUAAGGGUUGUAAAACUUCUUUUGCAGCGGAAUAAAGUAUUCCACGUGAUGGGAUAUUGCAAGUACGCUGCGAAUAAGGAUCGGCUAACUCCGUG
RNAcentral lists this ribosomal RNA (507 nucleotides) under uncultured bacterium. RNAcentral describes it as "bacterial SSU rRNA". It matches the Rfam family "Bacterial small subunit ribosomal RNA", at positions 28 to 507 of the family's 1533-position model. The record is from RNAcentral.